Molecule: long non-coding RNA, 222 nt
Filed under: Homo sapiens (human)
Lineage: Eukaryota; Metazoa; Chordata; Mammalia; Primates; Hominidae
Description: HSALNT0266647
Source: RNAcentral
GCUGACCUCAGGUGAUCCACCUGCCUCGACCUCCCAAGCAGGCUUAAGAUUUUUAAAAAUUAAAGUAAAAGUAAAAAAAUAAAAUAAACAGACUUCUAAAAGUGACCUCAAUGAGCAGAACUAAGAAACAAUGGGCAGCAGUAAUGGAAGACAGAUCCAGCUUAAUGAAAGGACCGGCCGGGCGCAGUGGCUCACGCCUGUAAUCCCAGCACUUUGGGAGGC